UAAGGAAUAUUGGUCAAUGGACGCAAGUCUGAACCAGCCAUGCCGCGUGGAGGAUGAAGGCCCUCUGGGUUGUAAACUUCUUUUAUUUGGGACGAAACACUUUCUUUCUAGAGAGCUUGACGGUACCAGAUGAAUAAGCACCGGCUAACUCCGUGCCAGCAGCCGCGGUAAUACGGAGGGUGCAAGCGUUAUCCGGAUUCACUGGGUUUAAAGGGUGCGUAGGCGGACAUGUAAGUCCGUGGUGAAAUCUCUAAGCUUAACUUGGAAACUGCCAUGGAUACUAUAUGUCUUGAAUGUUGUGGAGGUUAGCGGAAUAUGUCAUGUAGCGGUGAAAUGCAUAGAUAUGACAUAGAACACCAAUUGCGAAGGCAGCUGGCUACACAAAUAUUGACGCUGAGGCACGAAAGCGUGGGGAUCAAACA
Molecule: ribosomal RNA, 422 nt
Filed under: uncultured Chitinophaga sp.
Lineage: Bacteria; Pseudomonadati; Bacteroidota; Chitinophagia; Chitinophagales; Chitinophagaceae
Description: bacterial SSU rRNA
Rfam family: Bacterial small subunit ribosomal RNA
Source: RNAcentral